GGAAUUUUGGACAAUGGGCGCAAGCCUGAUCCAGCAAUGCCGCGUGCAGGAUGAAGGCCUUCGGGUUGUAAACUGCUUUUGUACGGAACGAAACGGUCUGCCCUAAUACGGUGGGCUAAUGACGGUACCGUAAGAAUAAGCACCGGCUAACUACGUGCCAGCAGCCGCGGUAAUACGUAGGGUGCGAGCGUUAAUCGGAAUUACUGGGCGUAAAGCGUGCGCAGGCGGUUAUAUAAGACAGAUGUGAAAUCCCCGGGCUCAACCUGGGAACUGCAUUUGUGACUGUAUAGCUAGAGUACGGUAGAGGGGGAUGGAAUUCCGCGUGUAGCAGUGAAAUGCGUAGAUAUGCGGAGGAACACCGAUGGCGAAGGCAAUCCCCUGGACCUGUACUGACGCUCAUGCACGAAAGCGUGGGGAGCAAACAGGAUUAGAUACCCGGG
Molecule: ribosomal RNA, 440 nt
Filed under: uncultured Rhodoferax sp.
Lineage: Bacteria; Pseudomonadati; Pseudomonadota; Betaproteobacteria; Burkholderiales; Comamonadaceae
Description: bacterial SSU rRNA
Rfam family: Bacterial small subunit ribosomal RNA
Source: RNAcentral